GAUCCAGAUCUAAUAUUUUAUAAUGUGACUUCAGUCUGAACGUCCAGGUCGCAUUUAUCCGACCUUUACGACAUUGAAAUGCGACAAACGUCCCAGUUGUUGGUCGCAGCGGAGGAAAACCAUAUUUCCUUCUGUAAACACAGUGUGUGUCUG
Molecule: long non-coding RNA, 153 nt
Organism: Sphaeramia orbicularis (orbiculate cardinalfish)
Lineage: Eukaryota; Metazoa; Chordata; Actinopteri; Kurtiformes; Apogonidae
Exons: 4
Source: RefSeq, a predicted model, not a curated record